Molecule: transfer RNA, 85 nt
Filed under: Felis catus (domestic cat)
Lineage: Eukaryota; Metazoa; Chordata; Mammalia; Carnivora; Felidae
Rfam family: tRNA
About the family: Transfer RNA (tRNA) molecules are approximately 80 nucleotides in length. Their secondary structure includes four short double-helical elements and three loops (D, anti-codon, and T loops). Further hydrogen bonds mediate the characteristic L-shaped molecular structure. tRNAs have two regions of fundamental functional importance: the anti-codon, which is responsible for specific mRNA codon recognition, and the 3' end, to which the tRNAs corresponding amino acid is attached (by aminoacyl-tRNA synthetases). tRNAs cope with the degeneracy of the genetic code in two manners: having more than one tRNA (with a specific anti-codon) for a particular amino acid; and 'wobble' base-pairing, i.e. permitting non-standard base-pairing at the 3rd anti-codon position.
Source: Rfam by way of RNAcentral
GCCUGGGUUGCUCAGUUGGUUGAGCCUCCGACUUCGGCUCAGGUCAUGAUCUCACAGUCUGUGGGUUCGAGUCCCGCAUCAGGCU